RNAcentral lists this long non-coding RNA (1670 nucleotides) under Capsicum annuum. Its description in RNAcentral is "long non-coding RNA (CANN_LNC013417)". Lineage: Eukaryota; Viridiplantae; Streptophyta; Magnoliopsida; Solanales; Solanaceae. The record is from RNAcentral.
CAAUCCCUAUCAUGAUUUUAAGUUUACCUUUGUAUAUAUACACCAUUAGACGGAGAGGUGGAAUCAGAAUUUAAAAUUUAUGAGUUUAAGAUUUUAGUUUGUUUUAAAAUCUUUUCUUGGAGUUCACACUUUUUUGCUCUAAUAGUGAUUCGAAUCUACAAUCUUGGAGUUGGAGAUGGAGGAUGGGUAAAAACUUACUCACACGGCAAUGGAGGAUCCAGGAUUUAGAGUUCAUGGGUGCUCGUGAGGUUCCACACAUAUUGAUGUAUAAAGUUUUAAGGUUCGCCUGAAAACUAAAUCACCUAGCUAUCGUAUUGGUUUCCUAGGUGCCUUUUGGAAGCUUUUACUAAUUUUUAUAUUUUUUUUAUAUAGUUAUACCUAAUCUGCGAUGGAUCUAACGGGUGCCGGAGCACCAAAGAAAUGCAUAUAGGUCCGCUCCUAACGGGUGUUUACACACAUGAUUGAAAGUUCAGAUUCAAAGGCAAAGACAAAGGAACGAACAUGUAAUCUAAGGAUACUCACCAUCUGAUCGACUUCCUCUUGUCAAUUCUAACCUUUUUAAAUUAUUGAGUUCAAAAUGAAUGAUUUGUACAUACCGAUGGAAUUUCUUAAAACAAAAUAUAGAGUUAGGACCAACGUUACUAAGUUUGGCAGAAUCCAUGUCUCGAAGGCUAACUCCACUGCUGACCAUCAGCGUAAAGAAAUUUAUACACUAUCAAAUCGCUUAAAAGAUAUCUAAAAGUAGUGAAGCCUUCAAAAAUGUGAAAAUUUAAAUCUUAAUAUUAUUAGUCCCUCGAUUAUUGAUAAACUAUGAUUUUGAUUCGAUUGAAGCAUACACUUUUGGUCCAUCUACCCCGUGAAUCUUCUUAUUGAACGAGAAUAAUAUAGUUUAGGAAAUAAUGUAAAUAUAAAAAGGGUCAAAAGGUGCAAUUAAAAAAAAGCGUCAUCUAUUUAAUUAAAUCCCCACGUGUCAUCUUAUAAUUUCGUUAAAUGGACAGUAUUGGACGUCCAAGCAAAAAAUAAAAAUUGAUAUAUAUGGUGGAAAGGAAUAGGAAGGGAAUAUAUAUAUUCUAAUAAAUUAAAAUUUACCUAAAGAUACACAACCUACCAAAAGAUAAGCUUAACGAAGUUGAAAUCAAAUAAUCCAUUGAACUUCUUGAUAAAAAUGACAAAAUAGAAGCUAUAAAAUCGACUUUGUUAUAAAAUUGACAGCAAAUUUAGAAGUCAAUUUUCAGAAACAAUUUUAUUGUCCAUUAUUUUGUCGUCUUCAUUUGAUUUCAUGUUUCAUCAAAGUUUAUUUAUUUAACCAGUCCACAGAAAUAUUCUUUCUUAUACUCCUUUGAUUCCACGGCUUCAUAAAUAAGUAAUAAUAAUUCACUAUUUUUUUUUCUUAUAUAAAAGUUAAAACAUCAAAUGGAUAAAAUUGAAUUUCCUCCUUUAAGUUGGUCUAUGCCGUUCAACUUACCGUAGGUGUGCACAAGUCGAUACUUAUAAAGUUGAACAAACAGACACGCACGUGUCUUACAAAACGUAAUACAAAUACAAAUCAGUUGACACGUGUACACACGUAGGAAGCAUACGUCUACUUGUUCAACUUUAUACAAACUUAAGUACAUAAUUGUGUACAACAAAAGUUCGAAAAUAUAAAUGUCAACCGAGGUCAAGUUGGA